Long non-coding RNA from Tachysurus fulvidraco (yellow catfish), 3019 nucleotides. RefSeq lists it as uncharacterized. NCBI's taxonomy places the organism in Eukaryota, Metazoa, Chordata, Actinopteri, Siluriformes, Bagridae. The record is from RefSeq and is a predicted model, not a curated record. The transcript is spliced from 6 exons.
GCUCUCUGUACCAGCAGAGGUGAUUUGCUCAUGUAUUCUAACUGACCCCAAGUCAGUGCUCGGAAUCAUGGAAGCCUUCAGUUCUUUCUCCUUGAGUUGUGCAGCCUCCCUUCUUUCAGCCUCAAGUGAGUAAGAACAUAUACCCCUCUUUGUCGCAAGCUAUCUCCAAAAGAUGACUCAUUCUCUGAGGGACACAAAUCCAAUCAUCAAUCAACCCACCCCCGCCCGCAUGCCCACGUCAAGCGAUGGCUCUCCGCAGCACCAGUCCAGUCUAAACUUGUCAUGCUCACUGCUCCGGGUUCCUCUCUCUCUCUCUCUCUCUCUCUCUCUCUCUCUCUCUCUCUCUCUCUCUCUCUCUCUCUCUCUCUCUCUCUCUCCCCCUUACUCCUACUCAGAUUCGUGCAUUUUUCGACACUUAUUUUUUCAUCUGCAGCCUGGACAAUAACCGCCCACGCUUGGUAUAGCUAGUAGCGCUACCACGCGUCACGUGUCAGAUUAGUGAAAGCAGCUUCUUUCAAUAAUUACAGCAUCGCUUACAUCGGAGUCUUAACAUUUUUCGUGUCAGAUUACACCAUAAAUAAUAAUCUGGAUUUAUUUCACAACAAACACGCUCUUAUAGGUCUAACUAUUUAUGGGUGAAUCUCUGUCCACUGCGCACUGUGAAUGCUAAGAGCGGAUUUGCUUGAUAGAUGAAAGGUCAAUUUACUCGUUUCCAAAAAUAAAAAGGACGUCACUAGACUUGUACGGCCACGGACAGGGAACAGAGCGUGUUAAAAAUAAUGUCAGCAUGCCAUCCCGAUUGCCCGUGACGUCAGAUUUAGCACGCCUCCGAAGGCGUUACCGCAAAGGAUGCGCGUCGCGAGGGACGUCACGGUGUAGCCGGAAGUGAAGGAAAUGAUGCGGUCUUGCAUCUUCAAGCUUUUAACGUUAUCUGAACCAUUUACAAAUGACUAUUGGAAAAUCAGGUGAAGAUUCAAAAAUACCCACUUUCUGACAGUUUUUAUGACCUGAAGUGGAGCUGAAACAUCAUUAAGCCUUUGGGAACUCUAUAACGAUCCUUCAUUUGCUUCAACUGUGAUGCAUAUACACCCCAACCAUGAAGGUGUUCAAGGUUGGAUCAGAACAUGGAGCUGCCUCCAGAACAGACUAGUGCAGUUGGCACCAGUGUAACAUCAACUGAACAGCACAGAUCAUCUCGUCCACUACUAGAAGAAUUGAGACUGGAAGCUUGUGACUUAAAUGGUCGGCUUUCAUAACAGGGUUGGUUGGCUGUCUUAGCUUCCAUUCUGCCCUAGCUCUGCAACAGGAAACAGAUGUAAGGUCAAAAGUCUCACCUGGGUCGGAAGCGAGGCUCAGUGACUCGCAUGCCAAGCCAUCAUUACCAAGCAAUGAAGGGAGCACCCUAUCUGCUUCAGCUGCAACCAAUUUCAGAUACUGAGUGAGGCCCGUGUGCCGAUGUAUCCCACCAGGACUUGGACACAUGACCUCUGGCUUCUAGAGAAAGCCCAUCCCAGCUAAUUUUAAUCAAGAGUCUUUGACUGAUGGCAAAGUUGGGCGGAAUCGUUCAUUAUGCACAUUGGUGCAGACAAUAUUAUUACCUGUUGUUAGGCCAUUACAUUACUUAUAAUCCUUUCAGAUGGUGAUGUUAAUUCAAAGCAGAGGUGAGGACUGAUAUGCUGCCUUUGAGGAGUAGGACAGGCCUGAAACUAUUAUUGCAGCAACUAGGCAACACUGAUUUUGAAUCAUCUUUAAUAGCUCUCAUACCAUCUUUGUUAAAAAGAGGUCCAUGUUUUUGAUGAGACCUAUAGAACUGUAUUAAAGUAUUUAAACUGUAUUUAAAGCAUUUUAUAGAUUAUUACUUAUUAAUUAUGUACAUAUUAUUAUUUUUAGAAAUAUCUUAUUAUAAAAUAUCUUAUUAGAAAUGAAUUAUUUUAAAUAUUAUUAUAUAACACAUGAGAUUUACAUAUACAGCAAGAUCAAAAUAUUUGAAAGAUGUAUGUUUUUCCAUUUGAUUUCCUUCCCAGACUCCUGUCCUUAAUUUCAGUAUGUUCUUUUUUCAAAUGAAACCAAAUUUUGCCUAAGUAUAUUCAAUGAAAGAUUUUCCACCAAAGUGCUAGCACCGAAAACUGGGCAUCAACUGAUCCUGUCUGCCCAGAUUAGAAUUUAUGUCAGACAUACAGAUCCACAGACCCCUGCCUCCUGCACUUAGGUUCUGAAACGAUAGCUGUGAAGAUAUUCUCAGAAGGAACUCUAUGAUGGACGAUGGUGCAGGCAUUUAAUCCUUUCCUUUCUUGUUAAAACAUUAAAUUUUCCUUGCGCCUUGUAGCUGUCAAAAAGAGUAAGGUAGCUGGCAGACACAGGAAGCUACAUGCAUUGAUUCAGCUUGCUGUGAUGGGGGAUGUGUGUCCAAUCACCUCAUGAAAAUGGCUUUCCCCAGUCCUUUUAUAGACAAUCACACACAGUUCAAGGAUUAUGCCAUGCAUGCAUGGCACUUGCUCUCAGUUUUGUUAAUUCUUCUUGUCAUUGUGCACUUGUUAAGUAUUUGGGUCAUUAAGCUUAAAAUGGCCUGGAACCCUCACCCUAAUAAGUUUCUCUACAUCCCCUGCACCCUCUCCAACCCCGAGACUUUGCUAUAUAUUACAGCAGCAUUCAACAUGGACAUGUUAUCCUUGUCUUACUGAUGCCAACUUCAAGUGAUAAUUAAGUAGUUUUAUGAUGGUGCCCUUAAGUGCUGAAGAAUGACAUGUUGGGGUGUCACAACUCAUUGAUAGACCACUGUAUUAUUGAUCAGUGAUGUCAAAGCCAAAAAGUUAAUAAGGUGUAAACCUUUGCUUAGUUGGUGAUGAGAUAAUGAACUUCUGAACUCUAUGGCAUCUUGGUGGAAAGUAAAUGCAUUUAGCUCCAGCAGAGAAUUAAGGGUAGUAUCUGAGGAAAAACAAAGACUGAAACCUUUUUGCAGAAUGAUAUUAAUGUAUUUGUGUACCAAAAUGUAAUACAAGAUCACAAUAAACACUUUGUG